RNA transcript from Syzygium oleosum, 2340 nucleotides. RefSeq lists it as uncharacterized. The transcript has 4 exons. The record is from RefSeq and is a predicted model, not a curated record. NCBI's taxonomy places the organism in Eukaryota, Viridiplantae, Streptophyta, Magnoliopsida, Myrtales, Myrtaceae.
AGAAAACCAACGCAAACGAGACAAACUUGGGUCCGACCCUGCUUAAUUUCCUCCGUCCACUGUUCUUUCAAAUAUCUCCAGAUCCACCCAGAACAACUCAAGACUUGCCAAAUCCGACGCCGCCGAAUCAAGAUCCACCCACCGUCGUCAACCUCGGAGCAGAGCGACAUGCCAUCUUCUUCAUCCUCCUGCCCAGUUUUCAAGACCCUUUCGCCGUCGCGCCUCAAGAACCUCCUCCUCGCCCUCGCCCUCUUCUGCAUCUUCUACCUCCUCCUCUCCAACUACCGCCGGGCCGCCUUCCUCCUCCAAGAUCCCCCCGUCCUCCCCCCGCAAGCCACCCCCGCGACCCCUACCUCCCGCCGCCACCUCCUCUUCGCCGUCGCCUCCUCCUCCCUCUCCUUCCCCCGCCGCCGCACUUACCUCCGCCUCUGGUACUCCCCAAACUCCACCCGCGCCAUCGCCUUCCUCGACCGCCUCCCCGAUGGCGGCGAACCCGCCCCGGACCUCCCCCCCACCGUAGUCUCCGAGGACACCUCCCGGUUCCCGUACACUUUCCCCGGGGGCCUCCGGUCGGCGAUUCGGGUGGCCCGGGUCGUCAAGGAGGCCGUGGACCGGGGCGAACCGGGGGUCCGGUGGUACGUGUUUGGGGACGACGACACGGUGUUCUUCGUGGACAAUUUGGUCAGUGUGCUGUCCAAGUAUGAUCACACCAAGUGGUACUAUAUUGGGAGCAAUUCGGAGAGCUACGAGCAGAAUAUCAAGCACUCGUUCGACAUGGCCUUCGGGGGCGGUGGAUUUGCGAUAAGUAGGUCACUUGCGGUUGCGUUGGCUCGGGUCCUGGACUCGUGCCUUGUGCGGUACUCGCAUUUGUAUGGAAGCGAUGCCAGGAUCUUCUCGUGCUUGGCGGAGUUGGGGGUCGGCUUGACUCAUGAGCCCGGGUUCCAUCAGGUUGAUAUGCGAGGGAAUUUGUUUGGCUUGUUGACUGCUCAUCCAUUGUCACCGUUGGUGUCCCUUCAUCAUUUGGAUGCGGUGGAUCCAAUCUUCCCUGACAUGAAUAGAACCCAAGGUUGGGAGCUUCUUUUUGAAGCUGUAAGUGUUGACCCUGCCAGGGUUUUGCAACAAAGUGUCUGCUAUGAUCGUACGAAUUUGUUGACUAUUUCUGUUUCGUGGGGCUAUGCUGUCCGGGUUUUUGAGGGCAAUGAGCUUCUUCCGGACCUCCUUGCAUUGCAGAGAACCUUCACACCGUGGAGAAGGGGUAUUAGUGCCGGUUCAAGUCACUAUAUGUUCAACAUGAGGGAAUUUCCCAAGGAUCCCUGCAAAAGACCUGUUACGUUCUUUUUGCAUAGUAUUUUAUCUGACGAGAAUGGUGUCCAGAGCAACUAUGAGGGGCAGAUCGUCGGGCAUUGUAUCAGAGGAAACACAUUGAAGAAUCUAAAAAAGAUCACUGUGUUUUCAAGGAAGCUAGAGCAUGAUAUUGAACAGAUGAAUGCCCUGCGUCGUCAGUGCUGUGACGUUCUACCCAUCGUUAAUGGAUUGAUGGUUAUCCAUAUUAGAAAAUGCGGUGAUAACGAACUUAUUUCAAUGCAUUUAUAGUUGGCUUCUGCUGGAGCAAUGAAGAGUUCCUCACUGGAAGCUGAAGCAGCUCUCAUGACUAUCUUGGAGCUGCUAAAGUCAAAAUAGUAAACUGUCAAGAAUGAGAAGAUUCUUUCUUGUGGAGAGAUAGAGUGAAGGUGCUUGAGACAUAUUAGGCAGCAUGUCGCAAGAACUCCCGUUAGUUUAGGUCUUCGAGGUAGAUUAGUAGUUUACACAGUGAUGUGGCAGACUCUUGUUUGUUAUAAUACCCAUCACUUUGUAAAUCGAUAUCAUGGACUGGCCUUUGUAUCACUAGCAUUACUGUUGGAGGCACUGCCAUCCGUGCUUUGUGUUGCUGGGCAUUUGGAGCGAAUUAUCUCUCGCUCGCAGACUGCUGGGCUGGGUUGUAAAGGUGAAAGGCGGGUUGACUCUUCUUGCACAGGCUAUUCAAGAGUGAUUCGAAGGCGGAAAGCUAUUUUGCUCGUUGACUUAUGACUUAUCUUAAGGAGGAAUCGUCUGAAGAGAUUGGAUGCGAGGUUGCAGUGCAGUAGAGGCAUAGCGUUGCUGAGCAAUGUAAUAUAAUGGUUUCCAAAUUUUGCGAAAGAGCUGAUGUUUUUCAAUUGAUUGAAAUAAGUUGCUCUGGAAAUUUAGAAGUUGACACGAUUGGUGCAAUCUAUACUAAGUCGAUUGUUUUGCUACACAUGAAUAUUCUGGUUUGUGGAUAUGGCAAUGAUAAGCUCUCAAAUUUGGGGGCAUGAAUUCCAUUCU